UUUAGUGAUGAAAAGCUUUCACAGCUUUUGUGGCUAGCCAUAGGCAAUGUUGCUAACAUAAAUACCAUCUUUCGGGACUGAUA
RNAcentral lists this small nucleolar RNA (83 nucleotides) under Lobosporangium transversale. Lineage: Eukaryota; Fungi; Mortierellomycota; Mortierellomycetes; Mortierellales; Mortierellaceae. The record is from RNAcentral.